GACGAACCGAGCGAACGUUGUUCGGAAUCACUGGGCUUAAAGGGCGCGUAGGCGGGCCGCCGCGUCCGGGGUGAAAUCCUCCCGCUCAACGGGAGAACGGCCUCGGAUACGGGCGGUCUGGAGGGGGGUAGGGGCGUGCGGAACUGUGGGUGGAGCGGUGAAAUGCGUUGAUAUCCACAGGAACUCCGGUGGCGAAGGCGGCACGCUGGACCCCACCUGACGCUGAGGCGCGAAAGCCAGGGGAGCGAACGGG
RNAcentral lists this ribosomal RNA (253 nucleotides) under uncultured bacterium. RNAcentral describes it as "partial 16S ribosomal RNA". It matches the Rfam family "Bacterial small subunit ribosomal RNA", at positions 524 to 776 of the family's 1533-position model. RNAcentral also lists the same sequence under 1 other name. The record is from RNAcentral.